ACCACAACAGGUGGAGCCUGCGGUUUAAUCGGACUCAACGCCGGGAAACUCACCAGAUAAGACAGCUGAAUGAUAGUCGGGCUGAAGACUCUACUUGACUAGCUGAGAGGAGGUGCAUGGCCGUCGUCAGUUCGUACUGUGAAGCAUCCUGUUAAGUCAGGCAACGAGCGAGACCCACGCCAACAGUUGCCAGCUCGUCCUCCGGGAUGGUGGGGACACUGUUGGGACCGCCUCUGCUAAAGAGGAGGAAGGAAUGGGCAACGGUAGGUCAGCAUGCCCCGAAUUAUCUGGGCUACACGCGGGCUACAAUGGGUGGGACAAUGGGUAUCGACACCGAAAGGUGAAGGCAAUCUCCUAAACCCAUCCGUAGUUCGGAUUGUGGGCUGCAACUCGCCCACAUGAAGCUGGAAUCUGUAGUAAUCGUGUCUCAAAUGGCACGGUGAAUAUGUCCCUGCUCCUU
This 460-nucleotide ribosomal RNA is filed under the name uncultured Methanomicrobiales archaeon. RNAcentral's name for it is "bacterial SSU rRNA". It matches the Rfam family "Archaeal small subunit ribosomal RNA", at positions 878 to 1338 of the family's 1478-position model. Lineage: Archaea; Methanobacteriati; Methanobacteriota; Methanomicrobia; Methanomicrobiales. The record is from RNAcentral.